GAUGAACGCUGGCGGCGUGCCUAAUACAUGCAAGUCGAGCGAACGGACGAGAAGCUUGCUUUUCUGAUGUUAGCGGCGGACGGGUGAGUAACACGUGGAUAACCUACCUAUAAGACUGGGAUAACUUCGGGAAACCGGAGCUAAUACCGGAUAAUAUUUUGAACCGCAUGGUUCAUAAGUGAAAGACGGUCUUGCUGUCACUUAUAGAUGGAUCCGCGCUGCAUUAGCUAGUUGGUAAGGUAACGGCUUACCAAGGCAACGAUGCAUAGCCGACCUGAGAGGGUGAUAGGCCACACUGGAACUGAGACACGGUCCAGACUCCUACGGGAGGCAGCAGUAGGGAAUCUUCCGCAAUGGGCGAAAGCCUGACGGAGCAACGCCGCGUGAGUGAUGAAGGUCUUCGGAUCGUAAAACUCUGUUAUUAGGGAAGAACAUAUGUGUAAGUAACUGUGCACAUCUUGACGGUACCUAAUCAGAAAGCCACGGCUAACUACGUG
This 497-nucleotide ribosomal RNA is filed under the name uncultured bacterium. RNAcentral describes it as "partial 16S ribosomal RNA". It matches the Rfam family "Bacterial small subunit ribosomal RNA", at positions 28 to 507 of the family's 1533-position model. The record is from RNAcentral.